This is a regulatory RNA element of Halorubrum vacuolatum, 71 nucleotides long. It matches the Rfam family "S15-Halobacteria ribosomal protein leader". Lineage: Archaea; Methanobacteriati; Methanobacteriota; Halobacteria; Halobacteriales; Haloferacaceae. The record is from Rfam.
UUGGGAACAGCACAGCUAUAGAUCCGACGCGCCGGGGCCUAUUCGCCCACGGCUUGGGAAUGUAGCAGUGC